Molecule: long non-coding RNA, 222 nt
Organism: Stegodyphus dumicola
Lineage: Eukaryota; Metazoa; Arthropoda; Arachnida; Araneae; Eresidae
Source: RefSeq, a predicted model, not a curated record
GAGAGAAAUGAUGAAGGAAGCACUUCCGCAGAGAACCCGGUAAAUGUAAACAUCGCCAACUUUGGCGAUAAUAGCUAACUUGGUAACCCUUCGGAUUUAUCCCAUUCGCUUGUUCGAAGUUUGCAACCAUUCCUCUUGCGUUUAUUUUGUUGAAUUAAGACUGUCGUUGUUCGCAUUUGCAGAUUUAUAUUAUUCUUCUCUUAUUUAUUAUUAUUUUUUCUG